AGAGUUUGAUCAUGGCUCAGAAUCAACGCUGGCGGCGUGCCUAACACAUGCAAGUCGAGCGAGAAAAGGGUAGCAAUAUCCUGAGUAAAGCGGCGCACGGGUGAGUAACACGUGGGUAAUCUGCCCUGGAGUGGGGAAUAACACCGGGAAACCGGUGCUAAUACCGCAUACGAUCGCGAUGUCUGCGGACGUUGUGAUGAAAGGAGCAAUUCGCUCCAGGAGGAGCCCGCGGCUGAUUAGCUAGUUGGUGAGGUAAUGGCUCACCAAGGCUACGAUCAGUAUCCGGUCUGAGAGGACGGUCGGACACACUGGAACUGAGACACGGUCCAGACUCCUACGGGAGGCAGCAGUGGGGAAUUUUUGGCAAUGGGGGAAACCCUGACCAAGCAACGCCGCGUGGGUGAUGAAGUCUCUUGGGACGUAAAACCCUUUCGACGGGGAAGAAACCGCAAGGUUGACGGUACCCGUAGAAGAAGCCCCGGCUAACUCCGUGCCAGCAGCCGCGGUAAUACGGGGGGGGCAAGCGUUGUUCGGAAUUACUGGGCGUAAAGGGUGCGUAGGCGGUGCUCUAAGUCGGAUGUGAAAACUCUGGGCUCAACCCAGAGCCUGCAUCCGAAACUGGAGUGCUAGAGUUCUGGAGGGGGUAGCGGAAUUCCUGGUGUAGCGGUGAAAUGCGUAGAUAUCAGGAGGAACACCGGUGGCGANNNNGCUACCUGGACAGAAACUGACGCUGAGGCACGAAAGCUAGGGGAGCAAACAGGAUUAGAUACCCUAGUAGUCC
Molecule: ribosomal RNA, 781 nt
Filed under: uncultured bacterium
Lineage: Bacteria
Description: bacterial SSU rRNA
Rfam family: Bacterial small subunit ribosomal RNA
Source: RNAcentral